This 334-nucleotide unclassified non-coding RNA is filed under the name soil metagenome. RNAcentral describes it as "partial contains 5.8S ribosomal RNA, internal transcribed spacer 2, and large subunit ribosomal RNA". The stretch from base 1 to 120 matches the Rfam family "5.8S ribosomal RNA", at positions 35 to 154 of the family's 154-position model. The record is from RNAcentral.
GAUGAAGAACGCAGCGAAAUGCGAUAAGUAAUGUGAAUUGCAGAAUUCAGUGAAUCAUCGAAUCUUUGAACGCACAUUGCGCCCGCCAGUAUUCUGGCGAGCAUGCCUGUUCGAGCGUCAUUUCAACCAUCAAGCCCCAGGCUUGUGUUGGAGCCCUGCGGCUGCCGCAGCCUCCCAAAACCAGUGGCGGGCUCGCUAUCACACCGAGUGCAGUAGUUUACUCUUCGCUCAGGGCGUGUGGCGGGUGCUAGCCGUGAAACCCCCAACUUCUCAAGGUUGACCUCGGAUCAGGUAGGAAUACCCGCUGAACUUAAGCAUAUCAAUAAGCGGAGGG